GGGGGCGAAACGGCUUCGACGGGGAUGUGUAAGCUCUACGUUGCAUGCCGAGCUUCUGUCAGCUCGUAAAACCGACGGAACACAAUUAUAAUCGCCGACGAUUAUAACUACGCAGUAGCAGCUUAACCGCUGUCAUACUGCCGUCCCACCAGCCUUCGCCCGAAAGGCGGGAUCCGGGGCGUCGACUCAACGGGCUGGUUCGGUGAUGGUGCCUGACUGUCACCAGACGAGAUUUUUCAGGAUAGCGGCGAGAAAUCUAUGUUCCGACUGAGUUCUCGCGGCGAAACCUAAAGUGCGGAACUAAGCAUGUAGAUACGGGAGGGGAGCAUUUGCGGACGCGGGUUCGACUCCCGCCGCCUCCACCA
RNAcentral lists this transfer-messenger RNA (365 nucleotides) under Desulfobulbaceae bacterium. It matches the Rfam family "transfer-messenger RNA". From Rfam's summary of the family: Bacterial tmRNA, also known as 10Sa RNA or SsrA, is named for its dual tRNA and mRNA-like properties. Its role is to liberate the mRNA from a stalled ribosome. The record is from RNAcentral. RNAcentral also lists the same sequence under 1 other name. Lineage: Bacteria; Pseudomonadati; Thermodesulfobacteriota; Desulfobulbia; Desulfobulbales; Desulfobulbaceae.